Long non-coding RNA from Pieris brassicae (large cabbage white), 247 nucleotides. RefSeq lists it as uncharacterized. The record is from RefSeq and is a predicted model, not a curated record. The transcript has 3 exons. Lineage: Eukaryota; Metazoa; Arthropoda; Insecta; Lepidoptera; Pieridae.
GCUGUGUGUUAUUUUGAUUUUAAAAAGGUUCCUAAAACAGUUGUUUAUGCUUCAAUUAGACACGCCCAGUAAUCGCAGUUGGCAUCAGGUGGACACCCAUUUUUAGUGGUUCCAGCGUUUGAGGGAGCGAAGAGCGAAGAGUACACUCAAAGGUUCCACAAGUGGAGUGCUGGCCUAGUGGCUUCAGCGUGCAACUCUCAUACAGUAGGUUCCAACGCCGGCUUUGCACCAAUGGACUUUCUUUCUA